AACGAACGCUGGCGGCAGGCUUAACACAUGCAAGUCGAACGCUCGUAGCAAUACGGGAGUGGCGGACGGGUGAGUAACGCGUGGGAACGUGCCCUGAGGUACGGAAUAACUGAGGGAAACUUCAGCUAAUACCGUAUGAGCCCCGAGAGGGGGAAAGAUUUAUCGCCUUGGGAGCGGCCCGCGUCGGAUUAGCUAGUUGGUGGGGUAACGGCCUACCAAGGCUUCGAUCCGUAGCCGGUCUGAGAGGACGAUCAGCCACACUGGGACUGAGACACGGCCCAGACUCCUACGGGAGGCAGCAGUGGGGAAUCUUGCGCAAUGGGGACAACCCUGACGCAGCCAUGCCGCGUGAACGAUGAAGGCCUUAGGGUUGUAAAGUUCUUUUACCCGUGACGAUGAUGACGGUAACGGGGGAAUAAGCUCCGGCUAACUUCGUGCCAGCAGCCGCGGUAAU
This 454-nucleotide ribosomal RNA is filed under the name uncultured bacterium. Its description in RNAcentral is "bacterial SSU rRNA". It matches the Rfam family "Bacterial small subunit ribosomal RNA", at positions 29 to 524 of the family's 1533-position model. The record is from RNAcentral.